RNAcentral lists this ribosomal RNA (499 nucleotides) under Bacillus sp. KU29. Its description in RNAcentral is "bacterial SSU rRNA". It matches the Rfam family "Bacterial small subunit ribosomal RNA", at positions 16 to 497 of the family's 1533-position model. The record is from RNAcentral. Lineage: Bacteria; Bacillati; Bacillota; Bacilli; Caryophanales; Bacillaceae.
AUCAUGGCUCAGGAUUAACGCUUGCGGGGUCCCUAAUCCAUGCAAGUUGAGCGAAUUAUUAGGAGCUUGCUCCUUCUGAUUUAACGGCGGACGGGUUAGUAACACGUGGGUAAUCUGCCUGUAAGACGGGAAUAACUCCGGGAACCCGGGGCUAAUACCGAAUAUUAAGAGAAGAAGCAUUUCUUCUUUUUGAAAGUNGNUUUUGGCUGACACUUACAGAUGAGCCCGCGGCGCAUUAGCUAGUUGGUGAGGUAACGGCUCACCAAGGCGACGAUGCGUAGCCGACCUGAGAGGGUGAUCGGCCACACUGGGACUGAGACACGGCCCAGACUCCUACGGGAGGCAGCAGUAGGGAAUCUUCGGCAAUGGGCGAAAGCCUGACCGAGCAACGCCGCGUGAGCGAUGAAGGCCUUCGGGUCGUAAAGCUCUGUUGUUAGAGAAGAACAAGUACGAGAGUAACUGCUCGUACCUUGACGGUACCUAACCAGAAAGCCACGGC